Molecule: ribosomal RNA, 433 nt
Filed under: uncultured bacterium
Lineage: Bacteria
Description: partial 16S ribosomal RNA
Rfam family: Bacterial small subunit ribosomal RNA
Source: RNAcentral
AACGAACGCUGGCGGCAUGCCUAACACAUGCAAGUCGAACGAGACCUUCGGGUCUAGUGGCGCACGGGUGCGUAACGCGUGGGAACCUGCCCUUAGGUUCGGAAUAACUCCCCGAAAGGGGUGCUAAUACCGGAUAAUGUCUUCGGACCAAAGAUUUAUCGCCUUUGGAUGGGCCCGCGUUGGAUUAGCUAGUUGGUAGGGUAAAAGCCUACCAAGGCGACGAUCCAUAGCUGGUCUGAGAGGAUGAUCAGCCACACUGGGACUGAGACACGGCCCAGACUCCUACGGGAGGCAGCAGUGGGGAAUAUUGGACAAUGGGCGAAAGCCUGAUCCAGCAAUGCCGCGUGAGUGAUGAAGGCCUUAGGGUUGUAAAGCUCUUUUUCCCGGGAUGAUAAUGACAGUACCGGGAGAAUAAGCUCCGGCUAACUCCGUG